GCCUGAGUAUAAAGCCUGGUGAGGAACAUCUCGAGCUGUAACAUCAACACUAUAACACGAGAAUGUCGUUUCACAGCAGAAAUCACACUGGGAAUCACGCCAGAUGACAGUAAGUUUUGUCUGGAGCUUUAAGGGAAGUACUAAAAACUUUAACCCUUCCCUGCACAACAUUUGAACUGGUGUUAAAAAAAUCAGCCAGGGCACUGUGAUGUUAUAAAUGCUGCCCUGUUUAUGUUACAAAAUAAUUUAAGUGUGUCCAAAACGCGUUACUGGCUUUUAUCUGGUAAGAUUAAUAGCCUACAUAAUGAUGUAGUAAGUUGUAAAAAUGUUAACAUGUUUAGUGUUUUGAGUAAAGAACAUUUGUUGUGACAAUAUGUUUCUAAAUAACAUUUUAGUUUAACUACAAUCACUAUAAUCUUCUGUCAGUGGUUCUCAAACUUUUUUCAUCAAGUACCACCUCAGAAAAUAAUUGUCUCUCCAAGUACCACUAUGAUGAGCAGUAUUGAAAUACAGUAGCGUAGUAGGCCCAGUAAAGCAGCAACAGCUCUGUUCUGUUCAAAAACCAGCCAGAUUAAUUCCUAAUAUUAAGAAUAUGUAUUAAUGUUAGCCACUUUAAACAUGAUAGUUUGAACAUUAACACUGUACUGUGCUUAUA
This 655-nucleotide long non-coding RNA is filed under the name Danio rerio (zebrafish). Its description in RNAcentral is "si:dkey-105n5.3 (ENSDARG00000095056.3)". The record is from RNAcentral. Lineage: Eukaryota; Metazoa; Chordata; Actinopteri; Cypriniformes; Danionidae.